AGGACGAACGCUGGCGGCGCGCUUAACACAUGCAAGUCGAACGGGGCUCUUCGGAGUUCAGUGGCGAACGGGUGCGUAACACGUGAGUGACCUGCCCUGGUACGGGGGAUAACCCGGGGAAACCCGGGCUAAUACCGCAUGCGCUCUCUGGGCUUCCGGGCCUGGGGAGAAAGUGCUUUCGGGCACUGUGCGAGGAGGGCUCGCGGCGUAUCAGGUAGUUGGUGAGGUAACGGCUCACCAAGCCGAUGACGCGUAGGGGUCUGAGAGGAUCGGCCCCCGCAGUCGGACUGAGAUACGGCCCAGACUCCGUACGGGAGGCACGCAGGUGGGGAAUC
RNAcentral lists this ribosomal RNA (335 nucleotides) under uncultured soil bacterium. Its description in RNAcentral is "bacterial SSU rRNA". It matches the Rfam family "Bacterial small subunit ribosomal RNA", at positions 26 to 363 of the family's 1533-position model. The record is from RNAcentral.